RNAcentral lists this transfer RNA (73 nucleotides) under Myotis davidii. It matches the Rfam family "tRNA". From Rfam's summary of the family: Transfer RNA (tRNA) molecules are approximately 80 nucleotides in length. Their secondary structure includes four short double-helical elements and three loops (D, anti-codon, and T loops). Further hydrogen bonds mediate the characteristic L-shaped molecular structure. tRNAs have two regions of fundamental functional importance: the anti-codon, which is responsible for specific mRNA codon recognition, and the 3' end, to which the tRNAs corresponding amino acid is attached (by aminoacyl-tRNA synthetases). tRNAs cope with the degeneracy of the genetic code in two manners: having more than one tRNA (with a specific anti-codon) for a particular amino acid; and 'wobble' base-pairing, i.e. permitting non-standard base-pairing at the 3rd anti-codon position. The record is from Rfam by way of RNAcentral. Lineage: Eukaryota; Metazoa; Chordata; Mammalia; Chiroptera; Vespertilionidae.
GUGCUGGUGGCUCAGUUGGAUGGAGCCUUGUCUGUAAAACAAAAGGUUUCUGGUUCAAUUCCUGGUCAGGGCA